This 273-nucleotide ribosomal RNA is filed under the name Lecanora subimmersa. RNAcentral describes it as "partial small subunit ribosomal RNA". It matches the Rfam family "Bacterial small subunit ribosomal RNA", at positions 406 to 723 of the family's 1533-position model. Lineage: Eukaryota; Fungi; Ascomycota; Lecanoromycetes; Lecanorales; Lecanoraceae. The record is from RNAcentral.
UGGCGAAAGCUAAUUGCAAAUAUCGACUCUGUCGAAUAAAAUUCUAGGUAGAUUUAUGAUAAUGACAUUAUCUGCCUAUGUGUCUUGACCAAAUUACGUGCCAGCAGUCGCGGUAAUACGUAGAAGACUAGUGUUAUUCAUCUUUAAUAGGUUUAAAGGGUACCUAGACGGUAAAUCAAGCACUAAUUUACUAGAGUUACUUAUGAGGGGGUAUUAAAGUACUGCUGGUGUAGAGAUGAAAUUCUGUGAUACCUCUUUUCGAUGGCACAGGUA